Molecule: ribosomal RNA, 253 nt
Filed under: uncultured bacterium
Lineage: Bacteria
Description: partial 16S ribosomal RNA
Rfam family: Bacterial small subunit ribosomal RNA
Source: RNAcentral
UACGUAGGGUGCAAGCGUUGUCCGGAAUUAUUGGGCGUAAAGAGCUCGUAGGCGGCUUGUUACGUCUGCUGUGAAAACUCGGGGCUCAACCCCGAGCCUGCAGUGGAUACGGGCUAGCUAGAGUGCGGUAGGGGAGACUGGAAUUCCUGGUGUAGCGGUGAAAUGCGCAGAUAUCAGGAGGAACACCGGUGGCGAAGGCGGGUCUCUGGCCCGAUACUGACGCUGAGGCACGAAAGCGUGGGGAGCAAACAGG